CUAGCUGGAUAAGUGAUGGGCCCCACAGCCCGUGGGACCCGCACGUCAGCGACCCCACGCCCGGCCCCGCCACUGUCCACGUGGAUAAGUGGAAGCGUACUUCGCAGAAGUACGUUUUCGCCUUCAGAAAGCGUGUUUCUCUUCUGCUCCAGUCGUAAGUGCGCUUUCAUAGUUUGAAAACUAUUUUCUUCUUAGGCGCCUUCUGUUUUCUCACUCAGGGGCCUGUUUGUAGAGAUUCUUUUACAAAUCGGUCCCUGAACUUCGUCGGGCUAUAUCUUUUUACUCCCAACUCCAAAUGAGGUGAUUCCAAAGCCCAUUUCUUUGUCUCGUCGAGCCCGUUCUGUUGGUUUCAUUUUCACUAUGGUUUGACACUGUGAAAAUGACCCUUUUUCCCUUGCCCGUAAACAGCCCCUCCGAGAGAGAACUGUUUCUGGCAAAUCUUUCCGCGAGCUUCUCGCACUUCUUCCCUGUGUUUUCUUCAUCCCCAGGCAAGCCACAAUACCCACUUGCAUGAUAGUCAUGCAGUAGCCAUGGUUUUCAACUUGAAUAUUUAUUAAAUGAUUGCUUGUUUAAAAUAUGGUUAUCGUUGUUUUGGUAAUGCUUCUGGGUUAGUGCUUACUUGCUUGAUAUGUUGUUAUGCACCUGGUUAUCAUGCCCUGCUAGUUGCUAGUAUUACUUUCAUAUUUCCAUGCUUGAUAGUAGUACAUGUUGGGUUGGUCAUGUUCUUCGGUGCAUGAUUAACGUCGGUUAUCGAGUACUGUUAAUAUGCGUUCUUCCUUUGCUGUUAGUUGGUUAAGUGUUACUCGGUAAUGUUAUUGAUGAGUUCUUGCAUGGUAUUUAUGGUUGAUGCUAGUGGUCAUGUUUUACUAUGAGUAGUGUUGCACUUGUAAUAGUUAUGCUCGUCAUUAUGCCAUGUUCAGUUGGAGAUUAUUCAUAGUUGAUAUGGUGGAUCGUUAUGUUGUACCCUCAUGCUUAUGUUGAUCUCAUGCUCAUGCUUUGUAUAUGCAUCAUGUUAUUUUAUCAUGGCUCAGCAUAUUGCAUUCAAGUUUAACCAGAUUAAGUUCAACUUGAACAACUGUUGGCUGAGUCAUGGUGCCACCAUAUCGAAACUGACCAGUGCAACCACGCUUACCUUAUGGGAAGGUCCUAACUGGGUCUAUUGUCGUGCCUCUCGCCGGUGCCUCCAACGAGGGAAGGUUAUGGGCGCGCGCUACCCUGAUCAGGUAGGCGGACAUAACCUUGUGUGCCCGUUGUUGUUAUUAUGGAUCCGGUCCCCGUGAGGGACGUUUUGGCCACGACAGUGGUCGUUGUGUCUUUGGUAGAUACGGGGCCACCCAGGACUAGCCCAGUUGGGAGUGGGUCGGAGUGGCCGGGAGAGUGUCAUGGCAAUAGAUCGGUUUUGUCGGAAUGCCAUUGGUCCACCCGAAUGGGAGUGCGAGGCCAUGGGUUCCGUGGUGUGGGUACAGUGUACUAACCUCUGCAGAGUGUAUAUUAAAUCUAUCGAUAGCCGCGCCCGCGGAUAAGGGCCCAGUUCGUGUCGGUCACACCGUGAGUCAACAGUAUUAAUAAUAACUUGAUUAAUGACAACCCCGGUUCGAUGAUGAGAUAAGUUGGUUGUGAUCGCCGGAAAGAUCACCGUUUGAGACCAAGUGUUGGUCAUGGUUGUGAUCGCCGAAAUGAUCACCGUGGUAUCGAGGAUACCGAGUUGUUGGAUAUUCGUGAUGUUGUGCGAGAAUCAUGGGUAAAGAUCAAGCUCCUUGUGGUCAUUUAAUGAUUACUACGGUAUUGUUGAUACCAAGCUUGAUUUGAUCCUGAGAUGAUUGUGUGAUGUCCGAGGUUGGUAAGUGAUGCAUGUGAUGGUUACGUAGUAAGCCGAGCAGAAUAAAUAGUGCAUAUAGUGUCUUCAUGUUGCAUGCUAGUAUCGUCGAAUUCAUAUGUUCAUGCUAUGCUCAUGUUGUUCUAGCUGUAUCAUGUUCAUGUUGCGCAAGUCAUGUUGUUACGAGGAUCUCAUGUUAAUUCCUCCUUAACCUGUAAAUGCCAUGCUGAUGUUUGUCUUGAAUGCUUCUGGUUAAUGUGAGCUUGCAAGUACAUUCAAUGUACUGACCUGGCAUGUCAUGCCAGCUUGCAGGUCGUGCCUGGAUUUCUUGCUUGUUUGGUGUUGUUCCUGUGUUUGCGAGCUAGGAUAAGCAUUCCAGCCAGAGUCCCUGCGGAGUGGAGUUCACCACCGUCGUCGUUGUUCCGCCGCCAGUAGUUGUUGCGCUGCCUCAACUUGCUAUGCUGCUUGCAUAGAGCAACUGAGGAUGGCGUAGUGUCGUCGUGCCGAUGUUAUUCAUUGUAAUAUCGGAGACCUUGUAUUCAUAUUCGUGUAUUAAUAGAAAGCUGGUUUGUUCUAUGCUAAGCAGUGCCGUAUUCCAGAAGACUUCACCUCGAUCUCUAGGCUGGAAUACGGGGCGUUCCGGUUUUCUCUGAGCCGGGGUGCCACAGGCUUGGUAUCAGAGCAGGUCUGGCUGUAGGAUGCCCUAGCCCGCCCGAACGUUAGAAAGCGGUAGUAUAGACCCCAGUUGGUUUGUUGCAUUUGUUUGUCGCAUAGCAUGUAUAUAGAUUAUUAUUUUGUCACUAACGGUUGAUCUUGUGAGUGUAGGCGGCAUCGUUUUCGGUCCACCGCCUGCACCCUCCUUCUUAGCAUGCCUGCUCUUCGGUGUGAUUCGACCACAUCAUCAUCCAUUGCCCUCCAUCUCGUUCUUUUGGCAACCCUUGCUGAUCUUUGUUAUCAGAAAAGGGUAAUGCCAUUAAACCCCGUCUUCCACUGUUAUCUUGCCUUGUCAUUUCAUUCUUUGGACGGGUACGAUUCCCUUCGUACGCUUGAUGAUGAGGUGGUCGUGACUUUUGUGUCUCGCUACUUGAUCGUCAAGUCCGUCCUCACCUGUGUAUCCAUCCAGAUCCAGCCACUGUUCAGCCAGUGCUUGGUGUAGCUUCGGUUACGCCAACUCCUUCCACACAUGGAUAUAAUUUUCGUGCACACCGCCACAGCAUAUUAGACCGUAGUACCGGAGUUUCCAUGUGAUUAGUGUGCUUAGGUGUGCAUGCAUAUUAUGGUGUGAGUAGCAGUAAUAUGUGAAGAUUGCUUGAUUAAUUAUAUUAGUAGUAUGCUUGUGUGCUUUUGUUUUAGUUAUAUCUUUUGUUUGUUUCUUUGGGCCUUUGGUGUUACAAAUUUUCCCCUAUUAAAGUUGCUCGUCAGCCGACACCGGACCCGAAGAGUCAGCAAGAAAUGCAUAUAUUUGGAAACUCGGUUAAACAAGAAUGGAAUUGUCAGCAGACUGCAGUGAAAUUGGAAAUAGCUCGUCUGAAUACAAAAGAAAUCCUGGAUGGAAUGUCAGUAUAAAGUUUGCAUUAACAUGCACUCCUCACAACAGUAUGGAAUUCUCAGCCGACUGCAUUCAGAUUGGGGGAUAUCUGGUCAUGUUACUGAGUGUCAAGUCUCCCUCAGCGUGUACUCCUCAUAGCACAAAUGAUCAAAUCAGCAAGAAGAUAAAUUGUGUGCAUGGUUGAUAAAAUAUUAUCAAAGGUAUGGCUCAGAUACAAGUUUAAUUUUUCGUUGAGGAUCAUUUUGGAACCCGAUGUACCUGGAAGCAAGCAAAAAUAUGGCAUGUACUCAGAAAGGAGGAUAGUCCUGCAAAACCCCGUUUCAUACAAGAAAUCAAGAACAAAAAUUUUAAGAUGGUUAUAUAUGUGGAAAUCGGUUCGCAUAUCACAAUAAGAAGCUUCUGGUGUAAGAAACCCAAUCUUCCCUCGCAAGAUACCCGAGAAGCUUCCAAGGCAAGAUUCAUCUAUCUUCCUCAGUACGAUACAUGGAUGAUUUCCCGUACAAGGUACUCUGCCUUCUUCAGUAAGCUACCGCAAAAGCUUCCGGCAUAAGGUACCGAGUCUUUCCCCAGCAAAGUCUUUAAGGGGGUAAGCUUCUGAAGCACGAUACCCAGUCUUCUUCAGCAAGCUGUCCGAUGAAAGUUUCGAGCACAAACCAGCCAAUCUUCCUCAGUAAGACAUUGGUACAAGGUAGUAUGAUGUGAAUUGAUAGCAUAUGGCAGUGAAUCCCAAGAAUCAGAUCCGCAACAUUUAGGUCAGAAGCAAGAAUCAGUCAGAAUACAUGUCUGUCUCGGGAAUCAGAUUCUCAUAUAUAUGCGGUGAGCAUACCAGCAAGAUCUUACAAGUCACUCAGAUGAGGAUAUGACAACCACGUGAGGAUGGUUAAGAGAAGAAAGCCAGUAUACACCGCAGUGUGACAAAGGAUUAUGAGGAUUGACGACAUCAAUGGCUCAAUGCAAGUACCUGUGAACCUGGAAAAUGAUCCUGAUGAGCCCUUGUCCCCUUUUUUCUCCAAUGAUGGCACCAUGCCUGUGAUCUAAGCUGUUUUUAGCUAUCCGGGGUGGAUGCCGAUUUUUUAUUUCUCUCUUCAACGACUGUCACGAGUUCUGAGCUGCUUUUCGGCCGUCUCAUACAGCUGUUGAGUUUCUUUUUGUGACAGUAGCCCUAUAGCUGCUUUUUGGCUAUUUUAGGGAGCUGCCACCUUCUUCUUAUCAACCCGAUCUCAUGUUCUGAGCUGCUUUUCGGCCGUCCUGCGCCAUGGUUGAGUUAUUUCAGUAAUGUCCCAGAUCUGAGUGGUAAAGACCAUUCUGGUGGCUACUGAUUUAUUUGUCGAUUUCUUGCAAAGGUUUGGAUGAUCAUUUUCCUGCGGUCAGAAUUUGAGGGGUGUUGAACCUGCCAUUUAAUGGGGUACCCUGUCAGAAAAAUGAGGAUAAGCUGCGAUUGCCGAAAAAUUGCACUGACAGUACCUAUGGUGAUACGAAGAAGCAAUAUGACCCAGCUCUUUCAGCCAAGGAUCCUGGCCAAGAAAACAAUAAUGAAGGAGCAAGACCAGUGAUGCAGGUAUGAAAAUUGUUGCAAGACCCGCGUGGUGCAGAACCACCGUCAGUCAAGUCUACAGAUAUUAUCAUACAAGUCAAACUCUUAUGCUAGCCACGACAGGCGACAAUCAAAUAUUUGGUACGGAUCCGAUACUCAAGACAGUGGAACCAGUUAAGAUGAUUCAGAAACUUCCGCGAUAAGCCAGAAUUUGUCAGGAAAGCGGUUAUGACCCAACUCGCUGUUUGGAACCCGAAGGACCUGCAUUUAGUGGAGAAACCCAAUGCAAGGAUUUAGAGCUUGGGUGUCCACUAGAAAAAAUCUGAUCACCACUUCAUGAAAGAUUGUCAAUGCCGGAUGACACACCCAGCAGAAAUCACUCUUGGAUUUGUGAAACCGACGUAUAUUUCAGUCGUGAGAAUCCAUCACAGUCAGCUAAGUCAGCAGAUCUAAAAAGAAAUUGGAGCCUGUAUAAGCAUGAACAAGCAAGGUAAGAUCUGUCAGAAUAUGGAUAUAUUAAAGCAAACCACCCCAGGACCAGUCAGAUAAAAAUUUAGGGGGGACAAAAAUAAGAAAAAGGAUACCCGAGUUGGAAACGGUUUCCUUAAGUCAGUAUCUUCAUACUUGUUCCCUGAGCAACCAAAUCUCGAGGACGAGAUUUCUUUAAGGGGGUAAGGUUUGUAACAGCCUGAUUUUUGGCCCUUUCUUUUUCUUUUGUUUUUCUGAGGUUUUUGCUUGAGUUUUCUUUUUCCGUGGCUUUGUGGUCUGGAAACUGAACAAGAUGCCCUCUUGUUUAUUUCCAGAGUGGCUUGUCAUUCCCAAAUCCUUCCCUAGACCCCGUCAUUUUCAUCCUAGCCCAAAUCCCAAUAUUCUUUUCAUUGGGAAUAUUCCUUUUCUACUAAAGGAAUAACUCAAGUUGCCCUAGGUUGUGAAGCAACCUUUACUUCCAUCACUCCUAAAAUUCCCAAAUAAUUCUCAUAAAUUUUUUGGGUCAUAUCUUUCCCAAAUAUGGUAAAAUAUUUCAUUUGUCAUGUUUAUCAUCAUGCUCAAAUAAUUCAUUUCCUAUUCUACCCUAAAUGGCACAUUGUGAAGCAAGUGCUAUUUUCCUUUUCCCAAGUGACCUCAAACUCCUUGGACACCUUUUCCUGUCCAUAUCAUUGCCACAUGCCAAAAUUCAACCUCAUUUGGCUAGUAAUUAUUUAAUUAUGAUUUUCCAAAGUUUCUAUCCAGAAAGAAGCUUUGUGAAGGAGGUGCAAUCUAGGCAUAUCCAAAUGAGUUUCCAUUUUGCAUGAUCCCUCAUAUCAUCAUAUCAUAGCCCACCACCAAAGUAGAGCUCAUGUCAUGCCUCCAUGUGAGCUCAUCUUCAAUUCUUUGAUUUUGUCCAAACUUUCAGCUUGUGAAGCAAGUAUAUUUUAUCUUGCUCCAUUAUGGCUGCCAAUUUUUCUAGGCCUUCUGUUAUCCAUAUAACCUACCUCCACCCAUUUUGGGCAUCUCUCAUCAAGCCAUUAUUUCUCUAGAAUGUUUCCAAGAUUCUGCACAGAAAUGAUGUUUGUAAAGAAAGUACCAUUUUAGAUGGUCCAUUUGGUAUGAGCUUUUUACAGCAUCUUUAUAUUUCCAUAUCAUGAGGAUUUGCCAAGUUGCAUCCCAUUCCAUAACUCCAUGUGAGUGCAUCAUCCAAAUCAAGUUUCUGGACCAAAAAUGCAGUUGCAAAGCAACCCUAUUAUUUAUUGGUCCAUUUCUUCUCUAAAUCUCCAGUAUUGUAGUUCUUCCUUAGUUAAACCUCCCAGACAACUCCUUUGACCUCAAUCAAGUCUCUGUGGAUUAGCAGUGCUCGUCCAAGUUUACUGCAGUAAACUUCAGAGCUUGAUUACCAUUUAACCAGAGAGAUUUUAACCAAACUACCACCGCAGUAGGAACCUCCCCUGGAUGAACUUGCCACUAGACAACACGCUCCAGCUCAUUUCCCCCGCUACAUGCCAGUGCACGCGGUGACCGCGUUAAUGGCAAGCCUGUGCGCGCGCUCUGCUACAAUUGGCCACACCGAGGAUGGAUUCUUGCUCGGGCCCCUCCUCCUCUCAUCGUCUUAGCACGCGUGAGCAUGUCCCUUGGCUUCACCUCGUCGUCGCCGAUCACAUGGACCCCGCUCCCCCUCAGGCAGCUUCCUCACCGACGAAAGCCGCAGCGUGCCCACGGGCGCACAGUGGCGUUUGGCUCGGUUCAUCGCCGUCGCCUUCCUCCCUGCGCUCCGUUGGCCUCCUCUGCCCCGUGAGACACUCCACUGCUCCUCCCCCGUCGUCUACCAGCGAGCUCAUGCGCGUGCACACGCGUCCGCGGCACCGGACACGCGUCCGCGGCGGCGCCAGCGCGACACUCCCUCGCCCGGCUAUAUAUAGCCAUCCCCGCGGCCUCCCGAGCACCUCAUCAGCCUCGCCUCACUCCCAGCUUCCUCCUCGUCCACUAGCCCGAGCUCGAGCAGCUCUCCUCGACCCCCAUCGCCGCCAUGCCCGCCGCUCUGCUCAGCUCAAAUUCGAGCUGGGCAGUGCCCCUCCCCCUCUCUUUCCACCACCAGUAGACUCCUCCUCCACCUAGACUUCGCCCCCGUGCUCUCCCUCCCCUCCGGUGGCCUUCUGCCAUGAGCUCGCCGCCGACCGAAGAUCGCCGUCCGCCGCGGCUGGCCUCCCGCUCAGCCGAGCCCUACCCCGCGGCUGCAUCUUGCCUGGAUGGAUCCGCCUCGUCGCGCUGAUCAUGCCGGUAGGUCGCACGCCGCGAGAGGUGGCCGGAGUGGCCGGGAAUCCGCGUCGGGCCGUCGGUCUCGUCUCUACAUCGCGGGCGAGCGGGAGGAGGAAGAAGGAGCCAGGCCAGGCGGGCCCCAUCUCCACGCGGCCCCACCUGUCGGCGGGCAGGCGUUGACCCCGCCUGCCUAGCUGGAUAAGUGAUGGGCCCCACAGCCCGUGGGACCCGCACGUCAGCGACCCCACGCCCGGCCCCGCCACUGUCCACGUGGAUAAGUGGAAGCGUACUUCGCAGAAGUACGUUUUCGCCUUCAGAAAGCGUAUUUCUCUUCUGCUCUAGUCGUAAGUGCGCUUUCAUAGUUUGAAAACUAUUUUCUUCUUAGGCGCCUUCUGUUUUCUCACUCAGGGGCCUGUUUGUAGAGAUUCUUUUACAAAUCGGUCCCUGAACUUCGUCGGGCUAUAUCUUUUUACUCCCAACUCCAAAUGAGGUGAUUCCAAAGCCCAUUUCUUUGUCUCGUCGAGCCCGUUAUGUUGGUUUCAUUUUCACUAUGGUUUGACACUGUGAAAAUGACCCUUUUUUCCCUUGCCCGUAAACAGCCCCUCCGAGAGAGAACUGUUUCCGGCAAAUCUUUCCGCGAGCUUCUCGCACUUCUUCCCUGUGUUUUCUUCAUCCCCAGGCAAGCCACAAUACCCACUUGCAUGAUAGUCAUGCAGUAGCCAUGGUUUUCAACUUGAAUAUUUAUUAAAUGAUUGCUUGUUUAAAAUAUGGUUAUCGUUGUUUUGGUAAUGCUUCUGGGUUAGUGCUUACUUGCUUGAUAUGUUGUUAUGCACCUGGUUAUCAUGCCCUGCUAGUUGCUAGUAUUACUUUCAUAUUUCCAUGCUUGAUAGUAGUACAUGUUGGGUUGGUCAUGUUCUUCGGUGCAUGAUUAACGUCGGUUAUCGAGUACUGUUAAUAUGCGUUCUUCCUUUGCUGUUAGUUGGUUAAGUGUUACUCGGUAAUGUUAUUGAUGAGUUCUUGCAUGGUAUUUAUGGUUGAUGCUAGUGGUCAUGUUUUACUAUGAGUAGUGUUGCACUUGUAAUAGUUAUGCUCGUCAUUAUGCCAUGUUCAGUUGGAGAUUAUUCAUAGUUGAUAUGGUGGAUCGUUAUGUUGUACCCUCAUGCUUAUGUUGAUCUCAUGCUCAUGCUUUGUAUAUGCAUCAUGUUAUUUUAUCAUGGCUCAGCAUAUUGCAUUCAAGUUUAACCAGAUUAAGUUCAACUUGAACAACUGUUGGCUGAGUCAUGGUGCCACCAUAUCGAAACUGACCAGUGCAACCACGCUUACCUUAUGGGAAGGUCCUAACUGGGUCUAUUGUCGUGCCUCUCGCCGGUGCCUCCAACGAGGGAAGGUUAUGGGCGCGCGCUACCCUGAUCAGGUAGGCGGACAUAACCUUGUGUGCCCGUUGUUGUUAUUAUGGAUCCGGUCCCCGUGAGGGACGUUUUGGCCACGACAGUGGUCGUUGUGUCUUUGGUAGAUACGGGGCCACCCAGGACUAGCCCAGUUGGGAGUGGGUCGGAGUGGCCGGGAGAGUGUCAUGGCAAUAGAUCGGUUUUGUCGGAAUGCCGUUGGUCCACCCGAAUGGGAGUGCGAGGCCAUGGGUUCCGUGGUGUGGGUACAGUGUACUAACCUCUGCAGAGUGUAUAUUAAAUCUAUCGAUAGCCGCGCCCGCGGAUAAGGGCCCAGUUCGUGUCGGUCACACCGUGAGUCAACAGUAUUAAUAAUAACUUGAUUAAUGACAACCCCGGUUCGAUGAUGAGAUAAGUUGGUUGUGAUCGCCGGAAAGAUCACCGUUUGAGACCAAGUGUUGGUCAUGGUUGUGAUCGCCGAAAUGAUCACCGUGGUAUCGAGGAUACCGAGUUGUUGGAUAUUCGUGAUGUUGUGCGAGAAUCAUGGGUAAAGAUCAAGCUCCUUGUGGUCAUUUAAUGAUUACUACGGUAUUGUUGAUACCAAGCUUGAUUUGAUCCUGAGAUGAUUGUGUGAUGUCCAAGGUUGGUAAGUGAUGCAUGUGAUGGUUACGUAGUAAGCCGAGCAGAAUAAAUAGUGCAUAUAGUGUCUUCAUGUUGCAUGCUAGUAUCGUCGAAUUCAUAUGUUCAUGCUAUGCUCAUGUUGUUCUAGCUGUAUCAUGUUCAUGUUGCGCAAGUCAUGUUGUUAUGAGGAUCUCAUGUUAAUUCCUGCUUAACCUGUAAAUGCCAUGCUGAUGUUUGUCUUGAAUGCUUCUGGUUAAUGUGAGCUUGCAAGUACAUUCAAUGUACUGACCUGGCAUGUCAUGCCAGCUUGCAGGUCGUGCCUGGAUUUCUUUCUUGUUUGGUGUUGUUCUUGUGUUUGCGAGCUAGGAUAAGCAUUCCAGCCAGAGUCCCUGCGGAGUGGAGUUCACCACCGUCGUCGUUGUUCCGCCGCCAGUAGUUAUUGCGCUGCCUCAACUUGCUAUGCUGCUUGCAUAGAGCAACUGAGGAUGGCGUAGUGUCGUCGUGCCGAUGUUAUUCAUUGUAAUAUCGGAGACCUUGUAUUCAUAUUCGUGUAUUAAUAGAAAGCUGGUUUGUUCUAUGCUAAGCAGUGCCGUAUUCCAGAAGACUUCACCUCGAUCUCUGGGCUGGAAUACGGGGCGUUCCGGUUUUCUCUGAGCCGGGGUGCCACAGGCUUGGUAUCAGAGCAGGUCUGGCUGUAGGAUGCCCUAGCCCGCCCGAACGUUAGAAAGCGGUAGUAUAGACCCCAGUUGGUUUGUUGCAUUUGUUUGUCGCAUAGCAUGUAUAUAGAUUAUUAUUUUGUCACUAACGGUUGAUCUUGUGAGUGUAGGCGGCAUCGUUUUCGGUCCACCGCCUGCACCCUCCUUCUUAGCAUGCCUGCUCUUCGGUGUGAUUCGACCACAUCAUCAUCCAUUGCCCUCCAUCUCGUUCUUUUGGCAACCCUUGCUGAUCUUUGUUAUCAGAAAAGGGUAAUGCCAUUAAACCCCGUCUUCCACUGUUAUCUUGCCUUGUCAUUUCAUUCUUUGGACGGGUACGAUUCCCUUCGUACGCUUGAUGAUGAGGUGGUCGUGACUUUUGUGUCUCGCUACUUGAUCGUCAAGUCCGUCCUCACCUGUGUAUCCAUCCAGAUCCAGCCACUGUUCAGCCAGUGCUUGGUGUAGCUUCGGUUACGCCAACUCCUUCCACACAUGGAUAUAAUUUUCGUGCACACCGCCACAGCAUAUUAGACCGUAGUACCGGAGUUUCCAUGUGAUUAGUGUGCUUAGGUGUGCAUGCAUAUUAUGGUGUGAGUAGCAGUAAUAUGUGAAGAUUGCUUGAUUAAUUAUAUUAGUAGUAUGCUUGUGUGCUUUUGUUUUAGUUAUAUCUUUUGUUUGUUUCUUUGGGCCUUUGGUGUUACAAAUUUUCCCCUAUUAAAGUUGCUCGUCAGCCGACACCGGACCCGAAGAGUCAGCAAGAAAUGCAUAUAUUUGGAAACUCGGUUAAACAAGAAUGGAAUUGUCAGCAGACUGCAGUGAAAUUGGAAAUAGCUCGUCUGAAUACAAAAGAAAUCCUGGAUGGAAUGUCAGUAUAAAGUUUGCAUUAACAUGCACUCCUCACAACAGUAUGGAAUUCUCAGCCGACUGCAUUCAGAUUGGGGGAUAUCUGGUCAUGUUACUGAGUGUCAAGUCUCCCUCAGCGUGUACUCCUCAUAGCACAAAUGAUCAAAUCAGCAAGAAGAUAAAUUGUGUGCAUGGUUGAUAAAAUAUUAUCAAAGGUAUGGCUCAGAUACAAGUUUAAUUUUUCGUUGAGGAUGAUUUUGGAACCCGAUGUACCUGGAAGCAAGCAAAAAUAUGGCAUGUACUCAGAAAGGAGGAUAGUCCUGCAAAACCCCGUUUCAUACAAGAAAUCAAGAACAAAAUUUUUAAGAUGGUUAUAUAUGUGGAAAUCGGUUCGCAUAUCACAAUAAGAAGCUUCUGGUGUAAGAAACCCAAUCUUCCCUCGCAAGAUACCCGAGAAGCUUCCAAGGCAAGAUUCAUCUAUCUUCCUCAGUAUGAUACAUGGAUGAUUUCCCGUACAAGGUACUCUGCCUUCUUCAGUAAGCUACCGCAAAAGCUUCCGGCAUAAGGUACCGAGUCUUUCCCCAGCAAAGUCUUUAAGGGGGUAAGCUUCUGAAGCACGAUACCCAGUCUUCUUCAGCAAGCUGUCCGAUGAAAGUUUCGAGCACAAACCAGCCAAUCUUCCCUAGUAAGACAUUGGUACAAGGUAGUAUGAUGUGAAUUGAUAGCAUAUGGCAGUGAAUCCCAAGAAUCAGAUCCGCAACAUUUAGGUCAGAAGCAAGAAUCAGUCAGAAUACAUGUCUGUCUCGGGAAUCAGAUUCUCAUAUAUAUGCGGUGAGCAUACCAGCAAGAUCUUACAAGUCACUCAGAUGAGGAUAUGACAACCACGUGAGGAUGGUUAAGAGAAGAAAGCCAGUAUACACCGCAGUGUGACAAAGGAUUAUGAGGAUUGACGACAUCAAUGGCUCAAUGCAAGUACCUGUGAACCUGGAAAAUGAUCCUGAUGAGCCCUUGUCCCCUUUUUUCUCCAAUGAUGGCACCAUGCCUGUGAUCUAAGCUGUUUUUAGCUAUCCGGGGUGGAUGCCGAUUUUUUAUUUCUCUCUUCAACGACUGUCACGAGUUCUGAGCUGCUUUUCGGCCGUCUCGUACAGCUGUUGAGUUUCUUUUUGUGACAGUAGCCCUAUAGCUGCUUUUUGGCUAUUUUAGGGAGCUGCCACCUUCUUCUUAUCAACCCGAUCUCAUGUUCUGAGCUGCUUUUCGGCCGUCCUGCGCCAUGGUUGAGUUAUUUCAGUAAUGUCCCAGAUCUGAGUUGUAAAGACCGUUCUGGUGGCUACUGAUUUAUUUGCCGAUUUCUUGCAAAGGUUCGGAUGAUCAUUUUCCUGCGGUCAGAACUUGAGGGGUGUUGAACCUGCCAUUUAAUGGGGUACCCUGUCAGAAAAAUGAGGAUAAGCUGCGAUUGCCGAAAAAUUGCACUGACAGUACCUAUGGUGAUAAGAAGAAGCAAUAUGACCCAGCUCUUUCAGCCAAGGAUCCUGGCCAAGAAAACAAUAAUGAAGGAGCAAGACCAGUGAUGCAGGUAUGAAAAUUGUUGCAAGACCCGCGUGGUGCAGAACCACCGUCAGUCAAGUCUACAGAUAUUAUCAUACAAGUCAAACUCUUAUGCUAGCCACGACAGGCGACAAUCAAAUAUUUGGUACGGAUCCGAUACUCAAGACAGUGGAACCAGUUAAGAUGAUUCAGAAGCUUCCGCGAUAAGCCAGAAUUUGUCAGGAAAGCGGUUAUGACCCAACUCGCUGUUUGGAACCCGAAGGACCUGCAUUUAGUGGAGAAAACCAAUGCAAGGAUUUAGAGCUUGGGUGUCCACUAGAAAAAAUCUGAUCACCACUUCAUGAAAGAUUGUCAAUGACACACCCAGCAGAAAUCACUCUUGGAUUUGUGAAACCGACGUAUAUUUCAGUCGUGAGAAUCCAUCACAGUCAGCUAAGUCAGCAGAUCUAAAAAGAAAUUGGAGCCUGUAUAAGCAUGAACAAGCAAGGUAAGAUCUGUCAGAAUAUGGAUAUAUUAAAGCAAACCACCCCAGGACCAGUCAGAUAAAAAUUUAGGGGGGACAAAAAUAAGAAAAAGGAUACCCGAGUUGGAAACGGUUUCCUUAAGUCAGUAUCUUCAUACUUGUUCCCUGAGCAACCAAAUCUCGAGGACGAGAUUUCUUUAAGGGGGUAAGGUUUGUAACAGCCUGAUUUUUGGCCCUUUCUUUUUCUUUUGUUUUUCUGAGGUUUUUCCUUGAGAUUUCUUUUUCCGUGGCUUUGUGGUCUGGAAACUGAACAAGAUGCCCUCUUGUUUAUUUCCAGAGUGGCUUGUCAUUCCCAAAUCCUUCCCUAGACCCCGUCAUUUUCAUCCUAGCCCAAAUCCCAAUAUUCUCUUCAUUGGGAAUAUUCCUUUUCUACUAAAGGAAUAACUCAAGUUGCCCUAGGUUGUGAAGCAACCUUUACUUCCAUCACUCCUAAAAUUCCCAAAUAAUUCUCAUAAAUGUUUUGGGUCAUAUCUUUCCCAAAUAUGGUAAAAUAUUUCAUUUGUCAUGUUUAUCAUCAUGCUCAAAUAAUUCAUUUCCUAUUCUACCCUAAAUGGCACAUUGUGAAGCAAGUGCUAUUUUCCUUUUCCCAAGUGACCUCAAACUCCUUGGACACCUUUUCCUGUCCAUAUCAUUGCCACAUGCCAAAAUGCAACCUCAUUUGGCUAGUAAUUAUUUAAUUAUGAUUUUCCAAAGUUUCUAUCCAGAAAGAAGCUUUGUGAAGGAGGUGCAAUCUAGGCAUAUCCAAAUGAGUUUCCAUUUUGCAUGAUCCCUCAUAUCAUCAUAUCAUAGCCCUCCACCAAAGUAGAGCUCAUGUCAUGCCUCCAUGUGAGCUCAUCUUCAAUUCUUUGAUUCUGUCCAAAAUUUCAGCUUGUGAAGCAAGUAUAUUUUAUCUUGCUCCAUUAUGGCUGCCAAUUUUUCUAGGCCUUCUGUUAUCCAUAUAACCUACCUCCACCCAUUUUGGGCAUGUCUCAUCAAGCCAUUAUUUCUCUAGAAUUUUUCCAAGAUUCUGCACAGAAAUGAUGUUUGUAAAGAAAGUACCAUUUUAGAUGGUCCAUUUGGUAUGAGCUUUUUACAGCAUCUUUAUAUUUCCAUAUCAUGAGGAUUUGCCAAGUUGCAUCCCAUUCCAUAACUCCAUGUGAGUGCAUCAUCCAAAUCAAGUUUCUGGACCAAAAAUGCAGUUGCAAAGCAACCCUAUUAUUUAUUGGUCCAUUUCUUCUCUAAAUCUCCAGUAUUGUAGUUCUUCCUUAGUUAAACCUCCCAGACAACUCCUUUGACCUCAAUCAAGUCUCUGUGGAUUAGCAGUGCUCGUCCAAGUUUACUGAAGUAAACUUCAGAGCUUGAUUACCAUUUAACCAGAGAGAUUUUAACCAAACUACCACCGCAGUAGGAACCUCCCCUGGAUGAACUUGCCACUAGACAACACGCUCCAGAUCAUUUCCCCCGCUACAUGCCAGUGCACGCGGUGACCGCGUUAAUGGCAAGCCUGUGCGCGCGCUCUGCUACAAUUGGCCACACCCAGGAUGGAUUCUUGCUCGGGCCCCUCCUCCUCUCAUCGUAUUAGCACGCGUGAGCAUGUCCCUUGGCUUCACCUCGUCGUCGCCGAUCACAUGGACCCCGCUCCCCCUCAGGCAGCUUCCUCACCGACGAAAGCCGCAGCGUGCCCACGGGCGCACAGUGGCGUUUGGCUCGGUUCAUCGCCGUCGCCUUCCUCCUUGCGCUCCGUUGGCCUCCUCUGCCCCGUGAGACACUCCACUGCUCCUCCCCCGUCGUCUACCAGCGAGCUCAUGCGCGUGCACACACGUCCGCGGCGCCGGACACGCGUCCGCGGCGGCGCCAGCGCGACACUCCCUCGCCCGGCUAUAUAUAGCCAUCCCCGCGGCCUCCCGAGCACCUCAUCAGCCUCGCCUCACUCCCAGCUUCCUCCUCGUCCACUAGCCCGAGCUCGAGCAGCUCUCCUCGACCCCCAUCGCCGCCAUGCCCGCCGCUCUGCUCAGCUCAAAUUCGAGCUGGGCAGUGCCCCUCCCCCUCUCUUUCCACCACCAGUAGACUCCUCCUCCACCUAGACUUCGCCCCCGUGCUCUCCCUCCCCUCCGGUGGCCUUCUGCCAUGAGCUCGCCGCCGACCGAAGAUCGCCGUCCGCCGCGGCUGGCCUCCCGCUCAGCCGAGCCCUACCCCGCGGCUGCAUCUUGCCUGGAUGGAUCCGCCUCGUUGCGCUGAUCACGCCGGUAGGUCGCACGCCGCGAGAGGUGGCCGGAGUGGCCGGGAAUCCGCGUCGGGCCGCCGGUCUCGUCUCUACAUCGCGGGCGAGCGGGAGGAGGAAGAAGGAGCCAGGCCAGGCAGGCCCCAUCUCCACGCGGCCCCACCUGUCGGCGGGCAGGCGUUGACCCCGCCUGCCUAGCUGGAUAAGUGAGGGGCCCCACAGCCCGUGGGACCCGCACGUCAGCGACCCCACGCCCGGCCCCGCCACUGUCCACGUGGAUAAGUGGAAGCGUACUUCGCAGAAGUACGUUUUCGCCUUCAGAAAGCGUAUUUCUCUUCUGCUCCAGUCGUAAGUGCGCUUUCAUAGUUUGAAAACUAUUUUCUUCUUAGGCGCCUUCUGUUUUCUCACUCAGGGGCCUGUUUGUAGAGAUUCUUUUACAAAUCGGUCCCUGAACUUCGUCGGGCUAUAUCUUUUUACUCCCAACUCCAAAUGAGGUGAUUCCAAAGCCCAUUUCUUUGUCUCGUCGAGCCCGUUCUGUUGGUUUCAUUUUCACUAUGGUUUGACACUGUGAAAAUGACCAUUUUUUCCCUUGCCCGUAAACAGCCCCUCCGAGAGAGAACUGUUUCCGGCAAAUCUUUCCGCGAGCUUCUCGCGCUUCUUCCCUGUGUUUUCUUCAUCCCCAGGCAAGCCACAAUACCCACUUGCAUGAUAGUCAUGCAGUAGCCAUGGUUUUCAACUUGAAUAUUUAUUAAAUGAUUGGUUGUUUAAAAUAUGGUUAUCGUUGUUUUGGUAAUGCUUCUGGGUUAGUGCUUACUUGCUUGAUAUGUUGUUAUGCACCUGGUUAUCAUGCCCUGCUAGUUGCUAGUAUUACUUUCAUAUUUCCAUGCUUGAUAGUAGUACAUGUUGGGUUGGUCAUGUUCUUCGGUGCAUGAUUAACGUCGGUUAUCGAGUACUGUUAAUAUGCGUUCUUCCUUUGCUGUUAGUUGGUUAAGUGUUACUCGGUAAUGUUAUUGAUGAGUUCUUGCAUGGUAUUUAUGGUUGAUGCUAGUGGUCAUGUUUUACUAUGAGUAGUGUUGCACUUGUAAUAGUUAUGCUCGUCAUUAUGCCAUGUUCAGUUGGAGAUUAUUCAUAGUUGAUAUGGUGGAUCGUUAUGUUGUACCCUCAUGCUUAUGUUGAUCUCAUGCUCAUGCUUUGUAUAUGCAUCAUGUUAUUUUAUCAUGGCUCAGCAUAUUGCAUUCAAGUUUAACCAGAUUAAAUUCAACUUGAACAACUGUUGGCUGAGUCAUGGUGCCACCAUAUCGAAACUGACCAGUGCAACCACGCUUACCUUAUGGGAAGGUCCUAACUGGGUCUAUUGUCGUGCCUCUCGCCGGUGCCUCUAACGAGGGAAGGUUAUGGGCGCGCGCUACCCUGAUCAGGUAGGCGGACAUAACCUUGUGUGCCCGUUGUUGUUAUUAUGGAUCCGGUCCCCGUGAGGGACGUUUUGGCCACGACAGUGGUCGUUGUGUCUUUGGUAGAUACGGGGCCACCCAGGACUAGCCCAGUUGGGAGUGGGUCGGAGUGGCCGGGAGAGUGUCAUGGCAAUAGAUCGGUUUUGUCGGAACGCCGUUGGUCCACCCGAAUGGGAGUGCGAGGCCAGGGGUUCCGUGGUGUGGGUACAGUGUACUAACCUCUGCAGAGUGUAUAUUAAAUCUAUCGAUAGCCGCGCCCGCGGAUAAGGGCCCAGUUCGUGUCGGUCACACCGUGAGUCAACAGUAUUAAUAAUAACUUGAUUAAUGACAACCCCGGUUUGAUGAUGAGAUAACUUGGUUGUGAUCGCCGGAAAGAUCACCGUUUGAUACCAAGUGUUGGUCAUGGUUGUGAUCGCCGAAAUGAUCACCGUGGUAUCGAGGAUACCGAGUUGUUGGAUAUUCGUGAUGUUGUGCGAGAAUCAUGGGUAAAGAUCAAGCUCCUUGUGGUCAUUUAAUGAUUACUACGGUAUUGUUUAUACCAAGCUUGAUUUGAUCCUGAGAUGAUCGUGUGAUGUCCGAGGUUGGUAAGUGAUGCAUGUGAUGGUUACGUAGUAACCCGAGCAGAAUAAAUAGUGCAUAUAAUGUCUUCAUGUUGCAUGCUAGUAUUGUCGAAUUCAUAUGUUCAUGCUAUGCUCAUGUUGUUCUAGCUGUAUCAUGUUCAUGUUGCGCAAGUCAUGUUGUUAUGAGGAUCUCAUGUUAAUUCCUGCUUAACAUGUAAAUGCCAUGCUGAUGUUUGUCUUGAAUGCUUCUGGUUGAUGUGAGCUUGCAAGUACAUUCAAUGUACUGACCUGGCGUGUCAUGCCAGCUUGCAGGUCGUGCCUAGAUUGCUUGCUUGUUUGGUGUUGUUCCUGUGUUCACGAGCUAGGAUAAGCUUUCCAGUCAGAGUCCCUGUGGAGUGGAGUUCACCACCGUCGUCGUUGUUCCGCUGCCAGUAGUUGUUCCGCUGCCUCAAGUUGCUAUGCUGCUUGCAUAGAGCAACUGAGGAUGGCGUAGUGUCGCCGUGCCGAUGUUAUUCAUUGUAAUAUCGGAGACCUUGUAUUCAUAUCCGUGUAUUAAUAGAAAUCUGGUUUGUUCUAUGCUAAGCAGUGCCGUAUUCCAGAAGACUUCACCUCGAUCUCUAGGCUGGAAUACGGGGCGUUGCGGUUUU
Molecule: long non-coding RNA, 18096 nt
Filed under: Triticum aestivum (bread wheat)
Lineage: Eukaryota; Viridiplantae; Streptophyta; Magnoliopsida; Poales; Poaceae
Description: long non-coding RNA (TAES_LNC019855)
Source: RNAcentral